This 497-nucleotide ribosomal RNA is filed under the name uncultured bacterium. Its description in RNAcentral is "partial 16S ribosomal RNA". It matches the Rfam family "Bacterial small subunit ribosomal RNA", at positions 28 to 507 of the family's 1533-position model. The record is from RNAcentral.
GAUGAACGCUGGCGGCGUGCCUAAUACAUGCAAGUCGAGCGAACGGACGAGAAGCUUGCUUCUCUGAUGUUAGCGGCGGACGGGUGAGUAACACGUGGAUAACCUACCUAUAAGACUGGGAUAACUUCGGGAAACCGGAGCUAAUACCGGAUAAUAUUUUGAACCGCAUGGUUCAAAAGUGAAAGACGGUGUUGCUGUCACUUAUAGAUGGAUCCGCGCUGCUUUAGCUAGUUGGUAAGGUAACGGCUUACCAAGGCAACGAUGCAUAGCCGACCUGAGAGAGUGGUCGGCCACACUGGAACUGAGACGCGGUCAAGACUCCUAAGGGAGGCAGCAGUAGGGAAUCUGCCGCAAUGGGCGAAAGCCUGACGGAGCAACGCCGCGUGAGUGAUGAAGGUCUUCGGAGAGUAAAACUCUGUUAUUGGGGAAGAACAUAUGUGUAAGUAACUGUGCACAGCGUGACGGUACCUAAUCAGAAAGCCACGGCUAACUACGUG